CACUAAAUAACUAGCCCCGCCAACUAAAAACAACAAACCAACAUUUAUAAACCCCAAAACACUAACGACAACUUAAAACAAACCAUUUUACCCCUAAGUAUGGGCGACAGAAAAGGAAACACCGGAGCUAUAGAAAAAGUACCGCAAGGGAACGAUGAAAGAGAAAUGAAACAACUCAACAAAGUAAAAAAAAGCAGAGACUCAAACUCGUACCUUUUGCAUCAUGAUUUAGCAAGUACCCCUAAGCAAAGUGAACUUUAGUUUAAAACCCCGAAACUAAGUGAGCUACUCCAAGGCAGCCCAUUAUGGGGCCAACCCGUCUCUGUGGCAAAAGAGUGGGAAGAACUUUGAGUAGAGGUGACAGACCUAUCGAACUUAGUUAUAGCUGGUUGCCUGAAAAAUGAAUAGAAGUUCAGCCUCCAGGCUUCUUCACUCCACCUAACACAACUUCACGACAAUAAGAAACCGGGAGAGUUAGUCAAAGGGGGGACAGCCCCUUUGAACAAAACACAACUUUAUCAGAAGGUUAAAGAUUAUAACAAUACAAGGAAAAAUGCCUAAGUGGGCCUAAAAGCAGCCAUCACAAUAGAAAGCGUUAAAGCUCAGACAUAUUCCCUCCCUAUUAUCCCAAUAACCAAAUCUCAAACCCCUAACGCUAUCAGGCUAUUCCAUGCAACCAUGGAAGAAAUUAUGCUAAUAUGAGUAAUAAGAGAGCAUUCACCUCUCUCCAAGCAUCUGUGUACAUCGGAACGGACAACCCACCGAACAUUAACGGCCCCAACCCCAGAGGGUAAUGAACACAAAACUACUACACCAGAAAAUCACCCACAAACUAACCGUUAACCUUACACUAGAGUGCCAUCAAGGAAAGACUAAAAGAAAAAGAAGGAACUCGGCAAAUACACCCCAUUAAGCCUCGCCUGUUUACCAAAAACAUCGCCUCUUGCAAACAACGUAUAAGAGGUCCCGCCUGCCCCGUGACAAUUAGGUUUAACGGCCGCGGUAUUCUAACCGUGCAAAGGUAGCGCAAUCAUUUGUCUUUUAAAUGAAGACCUGUAUGAAUGGCAUGACGAGGGCUUAACUGUCUCCUUUUUCAAGUCAAUGAAAUUGAUCUCCCCGUGCAGAAGCGGGGAUAAUAACAUAAGACGAGAAGACCCUGUGGAGCUUUAGACACAAAGCAGAUCCGGCCUACACCCACACUAACACAAGCUUAAAGAACCCUGCUCAAAUGUCUUCGGUUGGGGCGACCAUGGGGAAACAAAUAACCCCCACGUAGAAUAAGAGCACAUUCCUCUUAAAAACGAGAGCCACCACUCCAAAUAACAGAAUUUCUGACUUUAAGAUCCGGUAACACCGAUUAACGGACCAAGUUACCCCAGGGAUAACAGCGCAAUCCCCUUCAAGAGCCCAUAUCGCCAAGGGGGUUUACGACCUCGAUGUUGGAUCAGGACAUCCUAAUGGUGCAGCCGCUAUUAAGGGUUCGUUUGUUCAACGAUUAAAGUCCUACGUGAUCUGAGUUCAGACCGGAGCAAUCCAGGUCAGUUUCUAUCUAUGACAUGAUUUCUUCCAGUACGAAAGGACCGAAGAGAAGAGGCCUAUGCUUAAAGCAUGCCUCACCCCCACCUAAUGAAAACAACUAAACUAGGCAUAAGGGCAUUACCCCUUAUUCCUAAGACUAAGGCCU
Molecule: ribosomal RNA, 1684 nt
Filed under: Macrognathus pancalus (barred spiny eel)
Lineage: Eukaryota; Metazoa; Chordata; Actinopteri; Synbranchiformes; Mastacembelidae
Description: 16S ribosomal RNA
Rfam family: Bacterial large subunit ribosomal RNA
Source: RNAcentral